Molecule: ribosomal RNA, 520 nt
Filed under: uncultured Glomus
Lineage: Eukaryota; Fungi; Glomeromycota; Glomeromycetes; Glomerales; Glomeraceae
Description: SSU rRNA
Rfam family: Eukaryotic small subunit ribosomal RNA
Source: RNAcentral
AGCAGCCGCGGUAAUUCCAGCUCCAAUAGCGUAUAUUAAAGUUGCUGCAGUUAAAAAGCUCGUAGUUGAAUUUCGGGAUCAAUAUGUUGGUCGUGCCUUGGUACGUACUAGCUUAUUGAUUUCUCCUUUCUGACGAACCAUGAUGUCAUUAAUUUGGUGUCAUGGGGAAUCAGGACUGUUACUUUGAAAAAAUUAGAGUGUUUAAAGCAGGCUCGCGCUUGAAUACAUUAGCAUGGAAUAAUGAAAUAGGACAUUUGAUUCUAUUUUGUUGGUUUCUAGGAUCGACGUAAUGAUUAAUAGGGAUAGUUGGGGGCAUUAGUAUUCAAUUGUCAGAGGUGAAAUUCUUGGAUUUAUUGAAGACUAACUACUGCGAAAGCAUUUGCCAAGGAUGUUUUCAUUAAUCAAGAACGAAAGUUAGGGGAUCGAAGACGAUCAGAUACCGUCGUAGUCUUAACCAUAAACUAUGCCGACUAGGGAUCGGAUGAUGUUAAUUUUUUUAAUGGCUCAUUCGGCGCCUUAC